CACACACACGCCCACGCAUACACGUGCAUGAAUAGCUAAACAGCUAGCCCAUAGCGAAGUAGCUAGUGUGUCCCUCUUUGUCUGUUCUUGAGUCUG
This is a long non-coding RNA of Sander lucioperca (pikeperch), 96 nucleotides long. RefSeq lists it as uncharacterized. The record is from RefSeq and is a predicted model, not a curated record. The transcript is spliced from 3 exons. NCBI's taxonomy places the organism in Eukaryota, Metazoa, Chordata, Actinopteri, Perciformes, Percidae.